GUUUCUGUUUUAAUAUUUAGAUCUUUAAUCAACUUGGAUUUUAGUUUAGUGCAUGGUGAAAGAUAAGGGUCUAGUUUUAAUCAUUAGCAGGUUGAGAUCCAGUUUUUCCAACACCAUUUAUUAAAGAGGUUAUCUUUCCUCCAGUGGGCAUGAUCACCUCCUUUUUCAAAGAGGACAUAGCUGAGUACAUCUGGAUUUGUUAUUGUGUCUUCCAAUCUGUUCCACUGAUCCUCAGGUCUGUUUCUUUGUCAGUUACAAUGUGUAUGGUUCUUAUGUUAUCCCAUCGCUGGAGAAAGAACUUGAUAAGAGUCAGGCAAUUGUCUCGCCAGGAGGCCAGUCACUGUGACUUACUGUAGAAUCCUAAGUGCAAAGUGAAUGACAUCACAGAGGGGAUUCAGCAUCUCAGAGACAGACUACAGCCUUGAAGACACCAUGUCCUCCCGAAGGAGGCUCAGCAGCACUCAUGUACAGGGGAAAAGCUGUCCCGUGGACCAAGGAUACAACCCUCAGAAACAUCUGCAUUAUCUCCAAAACACAUUGACUAAACUUUGUGCUCCCUGUUUGGGUUCAAUUCAAAUGACGUGGAAUACUCUACCUGAAAACUGA
RNAcentral lists this long non-coding RNA (606 nucleotides) under Fukomys damarensis (Damara mole-rat). RNAcentral's name for it is "lncRNA (ENSFDAG00000023900.1)". Lineage: Eukaryota; Metazoa; Chordata; Mammalia; Rodentia; Bathyergidae. The record is from RNAcentral.